This 254-nucleotide ribosomal RNA is filed under the name uncultured bacterium. RNAcentral describes it as "partial 16S ribosomal RNA". It matches the Rfam family "Bacterial small subunit ribosomal RNA", at positions 524 to 777 of the family's 1533-position model. The record is from RNAcentral.
UACGUAGGUGACAAGCGUUGUCCGGAUUUACUGGGCGUAAAGAGCGCGCAGGCGGUCGUUCAAGUCGAGUGUGAAAGCCCCCGGCUCAACUGGGGAGGGUCACUCGAUACUGAUCGACUUGAAGGCAGGAGAGGGAAGUGGAAUUCCCGGUGUAGUGGUGAAAUGCGUAGAUAUCGGGAGGAACACCAGUGGCGAAGGCGACUUCCUGGCCUGUUCUUGACGCUGAGGCGCGAAAGCUAGGGGAGCAAACGGGG